RNAcentral lists this ribosomal RNA (460 nucleotides) under uncultured bacterium. RNAcentral's name for it is "partial 16S ribosomal RNA". It matches the Rfam family "Bacterial small subunit ribosomal RNA", at positions 338 to 795 of the family's 1533-position model. The record is from RNAcentral.
CCUACGGGUGUCCGCAGUGAGGAAUAUUGGUCAAUGUGCGCGAGCCUGAACCAGCCAAGUCGCGUGAAGGAUGACUGCCCUACGGGUUGUAAACUUCUUUUAUAAAGGAAUACAGUGAGGCACGUGUGCCUUUUUGUAUGUAUUUUAUGAAUAAGGAUCGGCUAACUCCGUGCCCGCAGCCGCGGUAAUACGGCGGAUCCGAGCGGUAUCCGGAUUUAUUGGGUUUAAAGGGAGCGUAGAUGGGUUGUUAAGUCAGUUGUGAAAGUUUGCGGCUCAACCGUAAGAUUGCAAUUGAUACUGGCAGCCGUGAGUACAGUUGAGGUAGGCGGAAUGCGUGGUGUAGCGGUGAAAUGCUUAGAUAUCACGAAGAACUCCGAUUGCGAAGGCAGCCUACUAAACUGCCACUGACAUUGAUGCUCGAAAGUGUGGGUAUCAAACAGGAGUAGAUACCCCUGUAGUC